UGAGUACAGUGGCUUCCGGGUGAGUAACAAAUGACUACCUACCUUCGAGUGGGGGAUAACCCCGGGAAACCUGGCCUAAUACCGCAUAACAUCGCAAGAUCAAAGGAGCAAUUCGCUGGAAGAGGGGGUCGCGGCUGAUUAGCUAGUUGGUAGGGUAAUGGCCUACCAAGGCGAUGAUCGGUAGCCGGCCUGAGAGGGCGCACGGCCACACUGGAACUGAAACACGGUCCAGACUCCUACGGGAGGCAGCAGUGGG
This 256-nucleotide ribosomal RNA is filed under the name uncultured Acidobacteriota bacterium. RNAcentral's name for it is "uncultured Acidobacteria bacterium partial 16S ribosomal RNA". It matches the Rfam family "Bacterial small subunit ribosomal RNA", at positions 87 to 358 of the family's 1533-position model. Lineage: Bacteria; Pseudomonadati; Acidobacteriota. The record is from RNAcentral.